RNAcentral lists this ribosomal RNA (237 nucleotides) under uncultured Oscillospiraceae bacterium. RNAcentral's name for it is "partial 16S ribosomal RNA". It matches the Rfam family "Bacterial small subunit ribosomal RNA", at positions 102 to 339 of the family's 1533-position model. Lineage: Bacteria; Bacillati; Bacillota; Clostridia; Eubacteriales; Oscillospiraceae. The record is from RNAcentral.
ACGGGUGAGUAACGCGUGAGGAACCUGCCUCAAAGAGGGGGACAACAGUUGGAAACGACUGCUAAUACCGCAUAACGCGUAGAGGUCGCAUGGCCUUUACGCCAAAGAUUUAUCGCUGAAAGAUGGCCUCGCGUCCGAUUAGCUAGUUGGUGAGGUAACGGCCCACCAAGGCGACGAUCGGUAGCCGGACUGAGAGGUUGAACGGCCACAUUGGGACUGAGACACGGCCCAGACUCC